GAUGAACGCUGACAGAAUGCUUAACACAUGCCAGUCAACUUGAAUUUGGGUUUUUAACUUAGGUUUGGGUGGCGGACGGGUGAGUAACGCGUAAAGAACUUGCCUCACAGCUAGGGACAACAUUUGGAAACGAAUGCUAAUACCUAAUAUUAUGAUAAUAGGGCAUCCUAUAAUUAUGAAAGCUAUAAGCGCUGUGAGAGAGCUUUGCGUCCCAUUAGCUAGUUGGAGAGGUAACGGCUCACCAAGGCGAUGAUGGGUAGCCGGCCUGAGAGGGUGAUCGGCCACAAGGGGACUGAGACACGGCCCUUACUACUACGGGAGGCAGCAGUGGGGAAUAUUGGACAAUGGACCGAGAGUCUGAUCCAGCAAUUCUGUGUGCACGAUGAAGUUUUUCGGAAUGUAAAGUGCUUUCAGUUGGGAAGAAACAAAUGACGGUACCAACAGAAGAAGUGACGGCUAAAUACGUG
This 467-nucleotide ribosomal RNA is filed under the name uncultured bacterium. RNAcentral's name for it is "partial 16S ribosomal RNA". It matches the Rfam family "Bacterial small subunit ribosomal RNA", at positions 28 to 507 of the family's 1533-position model. The record is from RNAcentral.